RNAcentral lists this ribosomal RNA (409 nucleotides) under Bacillus sp. R-31760. RNAcentral's name for it is "bacterial SSU rRNA". It matches the Rfam family "Bacterial small subunit ribosomal RNA", at positions 21 to 432 of the family's 1533-position model. Lineage: Bacteria; Bacillati; Bacillota; Bacilli; Caryophanales; Bacillaceae. The record is from RNAcentral.
GGCUCAGGACGAACGCUGGCGGCGUGCCUAAUACAUGCAAGUCGAGCGAACCACUUCGGUGGUUAGCGGCGGACGGGUGAGUAACACGUGGGCAACCUGCCUGUAAGACUGGGAUAACUUCGGGAAACCGGAGCUAAUACCGGAUAAUCCUUUUCCUCUCAUGAGGAAAAGCUGAAAGACGGUUUCGGCUGUCACUUACAGAUGGGCCCGCGGCGCAUUAGCUAGUUGGUGAGGUAACGGCUCACCAAGGCGACGAUGCGUAGCCGACCUGAGAGGGUGAUCGGCCACACUGGGACUGAGACACGGCCCAGACUCCUACGGGAGGCAGCAGUAGGGAAUCUUCCACAAUGGACGAAAGUCUGAUGGAGCAACGCCGCGUGAGCGAUGAAGGCCUUCGGGUCGUAAAGCU